CAAACCUUUUGUCAGUUUGUAGAAAUGUGUCUCUGAAGUGUAUGGUCUCGCCAGCCACGAUGAUGAGUUGUGAUACUCCCUUGUGAGCAUAAAACUGACAGAAUAAUGUUUUUUUCAUAUGUUUUUUGUUCCUGGUGAUUGUUUAUUGUUUUCUUGCAGAGUAAUAAAGAACAGAAUAUUACCAGAGUGGC
Molecule: small nucleolar RNA, 191 nt
Organism: Acanthochromis polyacanthus (spiny chromis)
Lineage: Eukaryota; Metazoa; Chordata; Actinopteri; Pomacentridae
Product: small nucleolar RNA U3
Exons: 1
Source: RefSeq, a predicted model, not a curated record